Molecule: ribosomal RNA, 446 nt
Filed under: uncultured bacterium
Lineage: Bacteria
Description: partial 16S ribosomal RNA
Rfam family: Bacterial small subunit ribosomal RNA
Source: RNAcentral
CCUACGGGUGGCAGCAGUCGAGAAUCAUUCACAAUGGGGGAAACCCUGAUGGUGCGACGCCGCGUGGGGGAAUGAAGGUCUUCGGAUUGUAAACCCCUGUCAUGUGGGAGCAAAUUAAAAAGAUAGUACCACAAGAGGAAGAGACGGCUAACUCUGUGCCAGCAGCCGCGGUAAUACAGAGGUCUCAAGCGUUGUUCGGAAUCACUGGGCGUAAGGCGUGCGUAGGCUGUUUCGUAAGUCGUGUGUGAAAGGCGCGGGCUCAACCCGCGGACGGCACAUGAUACUGGGAGACUAGAGUAAUGGAGGGGGAACCGGAAUUCUCGGUGUAGCAGUGAAAUGCGUAGAUAUCGAGAGGAACACUCGUGGCGAAGGCGGGUUCCUGGACAUUAACUGACGCUGAGGCACGAAGGCCAGGGGAGCGAAAGGGAUUAGAUACCCCUGUAGUC